Phodopus roborovskii (desert hamster) is the source of this 125-nucleotide small nucleolar RNA. RefSeq annotates it as small nucleolar RNA SNORA11. The transcript has a single exon. NCBI's taxonomy places the organism in Eukaryota, Metazoa, Chordata, Mammalia, Rodentia, Cricetidae. The record is from RefSeq and is a predicted model, not a curated record.
GGGGUGUGCUCAGCGUAGGGGGCCUGGAGAAUGGCUUCUCUGUUCAUACCACACCCAAGAGGAAUCUGGGGCCAUUUUGAUGAGGGGCACAGUGUGUCCUCUCUGUGAGCAGAUCCCCUACAUGC